RNAcentral lists this ribosomal RNA (433 nucleotides) under uncultured bacterium. RNAcentral describes it as "partial 16S ribosomal RNA". It matches the Rfam family "Bacterial small subunit ribosomal RNA", at positions 29 to 507 of the family's 1533-position model. The record is from RNAcentral.
AACGAACGCUGGCGGCAUGCCUAACACAUGCAAGUCGAACGAGACCUUCGGGUCUAGUGGCGCACGGGUGCGUAACGCGUGGGAACCUGCCCUUAGGUUCGGAAUAACUCCCCGAAAGGGGUGCUAAUACCGGAUAAUGUCUUCGGACCAAAGAUUUAUCGCCUUUGGAUGGGCCCGCGUUGGAUUAGCUAGUUGGUAGGGUAAAAGCCUACCAAGGCGACGAUCCAUAGCUGGUUUGAGAGGAUGAUCAGCCACACUGGGACUGAGACACGGCCCAGACUCAUACGGGAGGCAGCAGUGGAGAAUAUUGGACAAUGGGCGAAAGCCUGAUCCAGCAAUGCCGCGUGAGUGAUGAAGGCGUUAGGGUUGUAAAGCUCUUUUACCCGGGAUGAUAAUGACAGUACCGGGAGAAUAAGCUCCGGCUAACUCCGUG